GACCUGCUGCUAGGAUCGCGACGGGAACUGGAGCCCGAGGUGAGAGGAACAUGCUUGGGCGACGGGAAGUUGAACGCACAAACCUGUCCAGAGGGCAAGAUGCCCCGAGCCCCGGGGAAGGAUGAGGACACACCUGAUGUCCAGGUGUAUGGGGGUGGGGGCGGGGACUCACACACCUGGGAGACAUAACUGACUGUGGAAGGGUCACCGAUAUCCUGGGAGAGAGAGGCUUUUACCAGAGACUGGGAACAUACACCCACUGAUCUAACUAAGGCCUGGUGGGGAGGGCCCGAGGAAGACGAGGUGUAUGAGACGGAGGAGGGGAGACCCCCUGAAGGAAGGGGGAAGAAACGCUAAAGGAAUGUGAAAGGCCAAGCAAUGGAGAACAAACCUGAAUAGGGGGGUGAAGACCUGAGCCCUGGAAAGGGUUCAUCUCCUCAGCAUAAACACGCCUGCAUGGAGAUAAGUUCUAAGAGAGCAGACUUUCCCUCUUCACUGUUGUAUUUUCAUUGUCACAAAUAGUGCCUGACACAUAGUAGGCACUCACUAAAUGUCUGCUGAAU
This 563-nucleotide long non-coding RNA is filed under the name Homo sapiens (human). RNAcentral's name for it is "non-protein coding lnc-TRIM3-1:2". The record is from RNAcentral. Lineage: Eukaryota; Metazoa; Chordata; Mammalia; Primates; Hominidae.